RNAcentral lists this ribosomal RNA (477 nucleotides) under uncultured bacterium. RNAcentral's name for it is "partial 16S ribosomal RNA". It matches the Rfam family "Bacterial small subunit ribosomal RNA", at positions 28 to 507 of the family's 1533-position model. The record is from RNAcentral.
GAUGAACGCUGGCGGCGUGCCUAAUACAUGCAAGUCGAGCGAACAGACGAGGAGCUUGCUCCUCUGACGUUAGCGGCGGACGGGUGAGUAACACGUGGAUAACCUACCUAUAAGACUGGGAUAACUUCGGGAAACCGGAGCUAAUACCGGAUAAUAUAUUGAACCGCAUGGUUCAAUAGUGAAAGACGGUUUUGCUGUCACUUAUAGAUGGAUCCGCGCCGCAUUAGCUAGUUGGUAAGGUAACGGCUUACCAAGGCAACGAUGCGUAGCCGACCUGAGAGGGUGAUCUGCGACAGGGGGACGGAGAGAAGGCCAAGACUCAUAAGGGAGGAAGAAGUGGGGAAUAUUGCACAGGGGGAGGAAGCCUGAUGCAGAAACGCCGCGGGCGGGAGGACGGACGUAGGGGUGUAAAAAGAUUGCGACGGGGAAGAAGAGGGAGGGAGGGGAAGGGGUAAAGAAGAAACGGCUAACUACGUG